Molecule: ribosomal RNA, 19 nt
Filed under: Philornis downsi (avian vampire fly)
Lineage: Eukaryota; Metazoa; Arthropoda; Insecta; Diptera; Muscidae
Also listed under: 1 other name
Description: partial 28S ribosomal RNA
Source: RNAcentral
ACAACCUCAACUCAUAUGG